CCCCUGCAAGAUGAUGAGUUGAUCUCCUACAUCCUCAACGGGUUGGAUAUGGAGUAUCAACCGCUCGUCUCCGCCCUCGAUGCUCGAGUCCCUGUCACCCUUGAUGAGUUGUUCUCUAUGAUGAGCAAUUUUGAUC
RNAcentral lists this small nucleolar RNA (136 nucleotides) under Triticum aestivum (bread wheat). RNAcentral's name for it is "Small nucleolar RNA Z247". It matches the Rfam family "Small nucleolar RNA Z247". From Rfam's summary of the family: Z247 is a member of the C/D class of snoRNA which contain the C (UGAUGA) and D (CUGA) box motifs. Most of the members of the box C/D family function in directing site-specific 2'-O-methylation of substrate RNAs. The record is from Rfam by way of RNAcentral. Lineage: Eukaryota; Viridiplantae; Streptophyta; Magnoliopsida; Poales; Poaceae.